GUGAAUCAUCGAAUCUUUGAACGCACCUUGCGCUCCUUGGUAUUCCGAGGAGCAUGCCUGUUUGAGUGUCAUUAAAUUAUCAACUUUAUCAGCUUGCUGUAUAAAGCUUGGAUGUGGAGGUUUUUUUGCAGAUAAGCUUCAUGGCAUUUCUGCUCCUCUUAAAUAAAUUAGCGAGUUUAAACUAGGCUCUGUCUAUUGGUGUGAUAACUAUCUACACCGUUGGAUUGGGCUUAGACUUGCUUCUAACCGUCUGAAAAGACAAUCUUUUGACAAUUUGACCUCAAAUCAGGUAGGACUACC
Molecule: unclassified non-coding RNA, 300 nt
Filed under: uncultured Psathyrella
Lineage: Eukaryota; Fungi; Basidiomycota; Agaricomycetes; Agaricales; Psathyrellaceae
Description: sequence contains 5.8S rRNA gene, ITS2
Rfam family: 5.8S ribosomal RNA (bases 1-71)
Source: RNAcentral